AGUGGGGAAUUUUGGACAAUGGGCGCAAGCCUGAUCCAGCAAUGCCGCGUGCAGGACGAAGGCCUUCGGGUUGUAAACUGCUUUUGUACGGAACGAAAAGCCUUCUUCUAAUACAGGAGGGUCAUGACGGUACCGUAAGAAUAAGCACCGGCUAACUACGUGCCAGCAGCCGCGGUAAUACGUAGGGUGCAAGCGUUAAUCGGAAUUACUGGGCGUAAAGCGUGCGCAGGCGGUUGUGUAAGACAGGUGUGAAAUCCCCGAGCUUAACUUGGGAAUUGCACUUGUGACUGCACAGCUAGAGUGCGGCAGAGGGGGAUGGAAUUCCGCGUGUAGCAGUGAAAUGCGUAGAUAUGCGGAGGAACACCGAUGGCGAAGGCAAUCCCCUGGGCCUGCACUGACGCUCAUGCACGAAAGCGUGGGGAGCAAACAGGAUUAGAUACCCUGGUAGUCCACGCCCUAAACGAUGUCAACUGGUUGUUGGGAAUUAACUUUCUCAGUAACGAAGCUAACGCGUGAAGUUGACCGCCUGGGGAGUACGGCCGC
RNAcentral lists this ribosomal RNA (543 nucleotides) under uncultured bacterium. RNAcentral describes it as "bacterial SSU rRNA". It matches the Rfam family "Bacterial small subunit ribosomal RNA", at positions 353 to 889 of the family's 1533-position model. The record is from RNAcentral.